RNAcentral lists this unclassified non-coding RNA (267 nucleotides) under Hevea brasiliensis (rubber tree). Lineage: Eukaryota; Viridiplantae; Streptophyta; Magnoliopsida; Malpighiales; Euphorbiaceae. The record is from RNAcentral.
GCUAACUCUUUCAAGAAUUUGGCGACGUCUUUCGAUAGGGAAAUUGAGAAUUUCUUUAAUUCGGCUUCCAGUUUCUCUGUUCCUGCAAUCGGGUCGGGGUCUUCUCCUCCUGCCGAGAUUGAGUUCGUGAAGAAAUUGCAGCCGAAGAUAUCGGAGAUUCGCAGGGUGUACUCCACGCCGGAUUUUAGCAAAACUGUGCUGGAGAAGUGGAAGCCCAGGACGAGGAUUCGGAUUGAUUUGUCUGCUAUUAAGAACGCAAUUGUGUCU